GAAGUAUUAGUUAAUAAAUAACAUUAGAAUGUCAAUCUAAAAUAAUUAAUAUAUUUAAUAUUCUUCU
RNAcentral lists this transfer RNA (67 nucleotides) under Paranauphoeta circumdata. RNAcentral's name for it is "tRNA-Asp". The record is from RNAcentral. Lineage: Eukaryota; Metazoa; Arthropoda; Insecta; Blattodea; Blaberidae.